UGGGGAAUAUUGCACAAUGGGCGCAAGCCUGAUGCAGCCAUGCCGCGUGUGUGAAGAAGGCCUUCGGGUUGUAAAGCACUUUCAGCGAGGAGGAAGGUGGUGGACUUAAUACGUUCAUCAAUUGACGUUACUCGCAGAAGAAGCACCGGCUAACUCCGUGCCAGCAGCCGCGGUAAUACGGAGGGUGCAAGCGUUAAUCGGAAUUACUGGGCGUAAAGCGCACGCAGGCGGUUUGUUAAGUCAGAUGUGAAAAUCCCCGGGCUCAACCUGGGAACUGCAUUUGAAAACUGGCAAGCUAGAGUCUCGUAGAGGGGGGUAGAAUUCCAGGUGUAGCGGUGAAAUGCGUAGAGAUCUGGAGGAAUACCGGUGGCGAAAGGCGGCCCCCUGGACGAAGACUGACGCUCAGGUGCGAAAAGCGUGGGGAGCAAAACAGGAUUAGAUACCCUGGUAGUCCACGCUGUAAACGAUGUCGAUUUUGGAGGUUGUGCCCUUGAGGCGUGGCUUCCGGAGCUAACGCGUUAAAUCGACCGCCUGGGGAGUACGGCCGCAAGGUUAAAAACUCAAAAUG
This 568-nucleotide ribosomal RNA is filed under the name uncultured bacterium. RNAcentral's name for it is "partial 16S ribosomal RNA". It matches the Rfam family "Bacterial small subunit ribosomal RNA", at positions 355 to 908 of the family's 1533-position model. The record is from RNAcentral.